RNAcentral lists this ribosomal RNA (468 nucleotides) under uncultured bacterium. RNAcentral's name for it is "partial 16S ribosomal RNA". It matches the Rfam family "Bacterial small subunit ribosomal RNA", at positions 28 to 507 of the family's 1533-position model. The record is from RNAcentral.
GACGAACGCUGGCGGCGUGCUUAACACAUGCAAGUCGAACGGAAAGGCCCUGCUUUUGUGGGGUGCUCGAGUGGCGAACGGGUGAGUAACACGUGAGUAACCUGCCCUUGACUUUGGGAUAACUUCAGGAAACUGGGGCUAAUACCGGAUAGGAGCUCCUGCUGCAUGGUGGGGGUUGGAAAGUUUCGGCGGUUGGGGAUGGACUCGCGGCUUAUCAGCUUGUUGGUGGGGGAGUGGCUUACCAAGGCUUUGACGGGUAGCCGGCCUGAGAGGGUGACCGGCCACAUUGGGACUGAGAUACGGCCCAGACUCCUACGGGAGGCAGCAGUGGGGAAUAUUGCACAAUGGGCGGAAGCCUGAUGCAGCAACGCCGCGUGCGGGAUGACGGCCUUCGGGUUGUAAACCGCUUUCGCCUGUGACGAAGCGUGAGUGACGGUAAUGGGUAAAGAAGCACCGACUAACUACGUG